This is a long non-coding RNA of Hermetia illucens (black soldier fly), 645 nucleotides long. RefSeq lists it as uncharacterized. The transcript has 2 exons. Lineage: Eukaryota; Metazoa; Arthropoda; Insecta; Diptera; Stratiomyidae. The record is from RefSeq and is a predicted model, not a curated record.
GCUAGUUCGUCUGAUUUGUUUCUAAAUAGAGGGAUGUUUUUUAAACUUGGUGUGGUAUUGCUGAAUCACUGGUUGCCUCCAGUAUGAAAGGUAUUUAUCCAGAUAAGUAUCUUUAUAUUGAUCAAUAUGUGAUUAAAUUAGUUAAAAUAAAUUUUGGAAAGAAGGAUAAGUUACGAAGAAACGAGUGCCUUUGUUGUUUAUUUUUUUUCAAAGACAGUCUCAAAUGAAAGGAAGCAUCAUAUUAGUAUGUUUCUAGGUUCAAAGAUGACAUCAAUCCAGGAAUUUCAAGUUGAUUGCUUCCACUUUUCAGUCUCCAAAAAGUCAGGAUUCGAUGGGCUUCGCAUUUCCUACUUGUGGAAAAUUACUGUUUCCGACGUAGAAGGGCCCAUUUAUAGUGUCCCUCAAGCAGACGGUAAUAGGAACCUUGAAUAUUAUUGGGUGACGGUUUUGACACUUCCAAAGCCAAAAGUUUAACCGUUUUCAUUACUAUCGAACUCGAAGGUAGUGGACUCGCUCCAAACCUUCCUAAAUCUAGGGUGAUAUCAACGAAGCCUGGGUCACUAUCAAGGCUAUUACUCUGCAGGUUGGUAAGAAAGAUACUUAAGUAGCGUCAAUAUAUUUUUUAAUAAAUUCUGUUUUGGACUU